Molecule: long non-coding RNA, 836 nt
Organism: Mesocricetus auratus (golden hamster)
Lineage: Eukaryota; Metazoa; Chordata; Mammalia; Rodentia; Cricetidae
Exons: 3
Source: RefSeq, a predicted model, not a curated record
GUGGGGGUGGGGAGCAGGGAAAUCUACAAAAGAAAUGGAGCGAGCGCUCGGCUUCCACCGGCCUUGCAGCUGCCCCAACGCCGGCUUUAGGUGUGCACUGAAAGGAGAGGGAAGACUACAAGUAUAGAUCCUGCCAGCACUGCUGAAGCUCUCAAGCCAGAAGCCUAAGUCUGCAGGAAGCUGCCUUCCUCGUCCUCCUAGAGGCUCACAAUGCUCUUCCCAGACAACCAGAGUUCCGUUUUCCUUAGAUGGCCGUCACUCCAAUGAAGUUGUCCAUAAUCCCAUCCAUAAAAUACACGUUUGGAAAUAGCCUUCCACUUCUUCCUGUUCACCUUCCAUGUUCACCCAAGCUCUCCACUCCAGGGAGCCGUACAUCCUGCGUGUCAAGCUCAUCCCUCCAGACAGGAAGACGGAAGGUAAUAAUCCAGAGGACAUGAUGACAUUACCCGGGAAAUCUACUAUAAAUACUUCAGUAAUGGGAAAAUCAUGUACAUUUUUCAAGUCCUUGAAAUGCUUGGUCAACAAGAAGCUAUAAAUGAAGAAAUAGUCAGGAUAUGGCCAAGUCUCACAUGUGAAAAAUAAUGUAAAUACCUACUAUACAUAUUUUGAUUUCCUUCUUCUCUCUCUCUUUCUUCCUCCCUUCUUUUCCCUCUUAGUUGCCUAGCCCUCCUCUCCCUGCUCGUGUUUUGUCUUUUCUUCCUUCCGCUUGUUUUGUUUUUAGAAAUAUGAGCCUUACUGUCCAAGCUGCCUGGAAGUCACUAUGCGCACAGCCUGGCAUUAAGCUCAUGGCAGUCUUCAAGCUUUGGCUUUCCCACUUCUGCAAUUACAUUAAUGUG